UCUUUUUUGCCGUCCGGCGAUCCCAUUAGAACUCCGAAGUAAAGCGUGCUUGGGCGAGAGUAGUUCUAGGAUGGGUGACCUCCUGGGAUGACCACGU
Molecule: non-coding RNA, 97 nt
Organism: Oryza punctata
Lineage: Eukaryota; Viridiplantae; Streptophyta; Magnoliopsida; Poales; Poaceae
Source: Rfam